CAUGCCCCUACAGGCGUUGCAGAUAUGGUUGCUGUGCCAUGUUUGUGUCAUCAGGUGGCAGAGAGGAAGAGGCUGUGUCUACGCUCAGUGUUCUGAAAUCAUGAGCACUCAGAAUGAUUAGCAGCCUGACAUUU
Molecule: small nucleolar RNA, 134 nt
Organism: Chelonoidis abingdonii (Abingdon island giant tortoise)
Lineage: Eukaryota; Metazoa; Chordata; Testudines; Testudinidae
Source: Ensembl